This 240-nucleotide ribosomal RNA is filed under the name Pseudo-nitzschia fraudulenta. Its description in RNAcentral is "partial Bacterial small subunit ribosomal RNA". It matches the Rfam family "Bacterial small subunit ribosomal RNA", at positions 690 to 932 of the family's 1533-position model. Lineage: Eukaryota; Bacillariophyta; Bacillariophyceae; Bacillariales; Bacillariaceae. The record is from RNAcentral.
AUAGAUAUUACGAAGAACAUCAGUGGCGAAGGCGGCCUGCUGGUCUACAACUGACGCUGAGGCACGAAAGCGUGGGGAUCAAACAGGAUUAGAUACCCUGGUAGUCCACGCCGUAAACGAUCAUUACUCGAUAUUAGCGAUAUACAGUUAGUGUCUAAGCGAAAGUGAUAAGUAAUGCACCUGGGGAGUACGAUCGCAAGGUUGAAACUCAAAGGAAUUGACGGGGGCCCGCACAAGCGG